UACGAAGGGGGCUAGCGUUGUUCGGAGUUACUGGGCGUAAAGGGCGCGUAGGCGGCCCUCCAAGUCGGGUGUGAAAGCCCACGGCUCAACCGUGGAAUUGCACUCGAGACUGAAGGGCUCGAGGACGGGAGAGGAUGGUGGAAUUCCCAGUGUAGAGGUGAAAUUCGUAGAUAUUGGGAAGAGCACCGGUGGCGAAGGCGGCCAUCUGGACCGUAUCUGACGCUGAGGCGCGAAAGCCAGGGGAGCAAACGGG
Molecule: ribosomal RNA, 253 nt
Filed under: uncultured bacterium
Lineage: Bacteria
Description: partial 16S ribosomal RNA
Rfam family: Bacterial small subunit ribosomal RNA
Source: RNAcentral